RNAcentral lists this ribosomal RNA (717 nucleotides) under Bacillus sp. (in: firmicutes). Its description in RNAcentral is "bacterial SSU rRNA". It matches the Rfam family "Bacterial small subunit ribosomal RNA", at positions 36 to 734 of the family's 1533-position model. Lineage: Bacteria; Bacillati; Bacillota; Bacilli; Caryophanales; Bacillaceae. The record is from RNAcentral.
CUUGAGUGCGGGUGCUAUACAUGCAAGUCGAGCGGACCGACGGGAGCUUGCUCCCUUAGGUCAGCGGCGGACGGGUGAGUAACACGUGGGUAACCUGCCUGUAAGACUGGGAUAACUCCGGGAAACCGGGGCUAAUACCGGAUGCUUGAUUGAACCGCAUGGUUCAAUCAUAAAAGGCGGCUUCGGCUGCCGUUUACAGAUGGACCCGCGGCGCAUUAGCUAGUUGGUGAGGUAACGGCUCACCAAGGCGACGAUGCGUAGCCGACCUGAGAGGGUGAUCGGCCACACUGGGACUGAGACACGGCCCAGACUCCUACGGGAGGCAGCAGUAGGGAAUCUUCCGCAAUGGACGAAAGUCUGACGGAGCAACGCCGCGUGAGUGAUGAAGGUUUUCGGAUCGUAAAGCUCUGUUGUUAGGGAAGAACAAGUACCGUUCGAAUAGGGCGGUACCUUGACGGUACCUAACCAGAAAGCCACGGCUAACUACGUGCCAGCAGCCGCGGUAAUACGUAGGUGGCAAGCGUUGUCCGGAAUUAUUGGGCGUAAAGCGCGCGCAGGCGGUUUCUUAAGUCUGAUGUGAAAGCCCCCGGCUCAACCGGGGAGGGUCAUUGGAAACUGGGGAACUUGAGUGCAGAAGAGGAGAGUGGAAUUCCACGUGUAGCGGUGAAAUGCGUAGAGAUGUGGAGGAACACCAGUGGCGAAGGCGACUCUCUGGUC